UACGAAGGGGGCUAGCGUUGUUCGGAAUUACUGGGCGUAAAGCGCGUGUAGGCGGCUUGGCAAGUCGGGUGUGAAAGCCCUGGGCUCAACCUAGGAAGUGCACUCGAAACUGCUUCGCUUGAAUGUCGGAGAGGAAAGCGGAAUUCUCGGUGUAGAGGUGAAAUUCGUAGAUAUCGAGAGGAACACCGGUGGCGAAGGCGGCUUUCUGGACGAUGAUUGACGCUGAGACGCGAAAGCGUGGGGAGCAAACAGG
RNAcentral lists this ribosomal RNA (253 nucleotides) under uncultured bacterium. RNAcentral describes it as "partial 16S ribosomal RNA". It matches the Rfam family "Bacterial small subunit ribosomal RNA", at positions 524 to 776 of the family's 1533-position model. The record is from RNAcentral.